This 1203-nucleotide ribosomal RNA is filed under the name Isoptericola sp. RMS24. RNAcentral describes it as "bacterial SSU rRNA". It matches the Rfam family "Bacterial small subunit ribosomal RNA", at positions 134 to 1353 of the family's 1533-position model. The record is from RNAcentral. Lineage: Bacteria; Bacillati; Actinomycetota; Actinomycetes; Micrococcales; Promicromonosporaceae.
CACUUCGGGAUAAGCCUUGGAAACGGGGUCUAAUACCGGAUAUGAGCCCGCAUCGCAUGGUGUGGGUUGGAAAGUUUUUCGGUGGGGGAUGGGCUCGCGGCCUAUCAGCUUGUUGGUGGGGUGAUGGCCUACCAAGGCGUCGACGGGUAGCCGGCCUGAGAGGGCGACCGGCCACACUGGGACUGAGACACGGCCCAGACUCCUACGGGAGGCAGCAGUGGGGAAUAUUGCACAAUGGGCGAAAGCCUGAUGCAGCGACGCCGCGUGAGGGAUGACGGCCUUCGGGUUGUAAACCUCUUUCAGCAGGGAAGAAGCGCAAGUGACGGUACCUGCAGAAGAAGCGCCGGCUAACUACGUGCCAGCAGCCGCGGUAAUACGUAGGGCGCAAGCGUUGUCCGGAAUUAUUGGGCGUAAAGAGCUCGUAGGCGGUCUGUCGCGUCUGGUGUGAAAUCCCGAGGCUCAACCUCGGGCUUGCAUCGGGUACGGGCAGACUAGAGUGCGGUAGGGGAGACUGGAAUUCCUGGUGUAGCGGUGGAAUGCGCAGAUAUCAGGAGGAACACCGAUGGCGAAGGCAGGUCUCUGGGCCGCAACUGACGCUGAGGAGCGAAAGCAUGGGGAGCGAACAGGAUUAGAUACCCUGGUAGUCCAUGCCGUAAACGUUGGGCACUAGGUGUGGGGCUCAUUCCACGAGUUCCGUGCCGCAGCUAACGCAUUAAGUGCCCCGCCUGGGGAGUACGGCCGCAAGGCUAAAACUCAAAGGAAUUGACGGGGGCCCGCACAAGCGGCGGAGCAUGCGGAUUAAUUCGAUGCAACGCGAAGAACCUUACCAAGGCUUGACAUGCACCGGAAACACUCAGAGAUGGGUGCCCCGCAAGGUCGGUGCACAGGUGGUGCAUGGUUGUCGUCAGCUCGUGUCGUGAGAUGUUGGGUUAAGUCCCGCAACGAGCGCAACCCUCGUCCUAUGUUGCCAGCGGGUUAUGCCGGGGACUCAUGGGAGACUGCCGGGGUCAACUCGGAGGAAGGUGGGGAUGACGUCAAAUCAUCAUGCCCCUUAUGUCUUGGGCUUCACGCAUGCUACAAUGGCCGGUACAGAGGGCUGCGAUACCGUAAGGUGGAGCGAAUCCCAAAAAGCCGGUCUCAGUUCGGAUUGGGGUCUGCAACUCGACCCCAUGAAGUCGGAGUCGCUAGUAAUCGCAGAUCAGC